Molecule: long non-coding RNA, 1044 nt
Filed under: Heterocephalus glaber (naked mole-rat)
Lineage: Eukaryota; Metazoa; Chordata; Mammalia; Rodentia; Bathyergidae
Description: lncRNA (ENSHGLG00000049928.1)
Source: RNAcentral
CCAUAUUUAUAAGUGAGAUUGUAUAGUUCUUUUUCCUCCCGUAUUGUUUGUGAGCUCCUAAUCAGAAUUAUGCUCUCCUUGGUGAUUAAAUCGGGAAACUUGUCAUCAUUUUCUGUGCUCUGGAACAGAAGAAUAAUCUGUUUCUGGAAGUUUGGCAGCACCUGACUGCAGACUGCUGGUGUUUUGUCUCGUUUGUGUCUUGCAGUGCUGAGGAUUGAGUCCAGAGCCUAGGCCAAGUUAGUGUUUAUUGGCCAGACGUGCUCAGUGAUCGCUUAUUUUAAUCUUUUGGAAGAACCAGCUUUGGGAGUUCUUGGUGAGUGCUGCUGAUUUUUAUCCUUUUACAUCAGGAAUUUCUGUCGUUACUAUUUAUCUUUCUGCUUCAUUUAAAUUUACUUUGUUCAAUCUGUAGCCUCCCGAAUCGAAAGCUUGAAUCCUUUCUUUAACCAGCUGAUCCUCCUCCUAAAACAGGCAAGGUCUUGGAAUUCAUUUUGUUGGCCUCACAUGUUUUUCUUUCCCUCCAGUACCGGGGAUUGAACUGAGGACCUUGUGCUUGCGAGGGAGGCAGCUGCACCCCUGAGCUAAUUCCCUGGCCCGAGUUGGUUUUGUUUCAUCCUUGCUCCCUGAAAUCUGACUCAAGGUCCUGCCGUGGUAUCUCUCCCUGGGGUCCGUGUGUAUAACUACAGAGAAUGUCCUUCAGAAUCGUGAUCAUAAAGCCCAUUGGAGGAGAGCCAGCUUGAGGGAAGUAGAGAGUCCUGGGGUGUUUUGUUGGUUGGUUGGUUGGUUGGUUGGUUGGUUUGUAUUUGGUACCGGCAAUCGAACUCGGGGCCUUGAGCUUGCAAGGCAAGCGCUGGAGCCACUGAGCUAAAUCCCCGGCCCUGGAGAAUCCGGGUUUUUUUCAUGACCUUGAGUUUUGGGUGUCUUGGGUGCAGGCUAGAGAUGUUGUUGGACAUGGUAUAGAGUGAGAGGAGAGGCUUAGGGUGGGAUGUAAAUCCCUGGUUUUCCCGCAGUUUACCUAGGGGCACACAGGUAUGUAUGUAUGUAGGU